RNAcentral lists this ribosomal RNA (537 nucleotides) under Trigonopterus misellus. Its description in RNAcentral is "partial large subunit ribosomal RNA". It matches the Rfam family "Bacterial large subunit ribosomal RNA", at positions 1819 to 2625 of the family's 2925-position model. The record is from RNAcentral. Lineage: Eukaryota; Metazoa; Arthropoda; Insecta; Coleoptera; Curculionidae.
GGCUUGUUGAUAAUAAUUUCAAGUCUGACCUGCCCAAUGAUUUUAUUAAAUGGCUGCGGUAAAUUGACCGUACAAAGGUAGCAUAAUCAUUAGUUUUUUAAUUGAAAGCUGGAAUGAAAGGUUUAAUGAAAAAAAGACUGUCUCUGUAAAAAUUUAAUUGAAUUUUAUUUUUAAGUGAGAAAGCUUAAAUGUAAAUAGAAGACGAGAAGACCCUAUAGAGUUUUAUAGUUGUGCUUGUUGAUUAAUUAGAAGUAUCAAGGGUUAGUUGUUAAGUAAAUUUAUUUUGUUGGGGUGAUAGAAAAAUUGGGUUAACUUUUUUUAUAUAAAUACAUUUAUUUGUGGAUAUUUGAGCCUGUUUAUGGAUUAUAAGAUUAAAUUACCUUAGGGAUAACAGCGUAAUCUUUUCUAGAGAUCUUAUCGAAGAGAAGGAUUGCGACCUCGAUGUUGGAUUAAAAUAAAUGUUUGGUGUAGAAGCUGAAUAAUUAGGUCUGUUCGACCUUUGAAAUUUUACAUGAUCUGAGUUUAGACCGGCGUGAG